Molecule: microRNA, 22 nt
Filed under: Drosophila melanogaster (fruit fly)
Lineage: Eukaryota; Metazoa; Arthropoda; Insecta; Diptera; Drosophilidae
Also listed under: 2 other names
Description: dme-miR-286-5p
Gene: dme-miR-286-5p
Source: miRBase by way of RNAcentral
GGCGAAUGUCGGUAUGGUCUCU